UUUCUUAGAUUCAAGAAAUCCUUUUCAUUGACCAGAACAAUAGACCCACAAAUCUCAAAUUUGACCUAGUAAACCCUCACAAAUUCAAACAAAUAAUACGAUAAUCCUGUCAUUGAAAGAGCAUUGAGAGAUCAGAAAAAUCUGCAUUCUUUUCCAUCUUCGUUCUAGAGAAAUGAAAAAUGCAAAAAUAAAAAAGGUAAACAGCGAUUUAUACCAAUAUUAUAGUAGAAAUAAGAAGAAAACCCAGAAUCUGAGGGUAGAGAGAUCAUCGGCUAGAAGGGUAUAGAUAGGCUUCAAGAGUUUCUAGAAAGGUUUUAUUCCCAAAUUACACCGAAUUUUGAGCUUCCUGAUUAAUCGAAGAAAACAAAUAGACAUAAAAACGUUUGUUGGAUAGUCCGACGUUGCUCGGACAGCGCCGCUAUGUACAACGUGUCCACCAUAUUCCACAAGGCGAC
Molecule: long non-coding RNA, 455 nt
Filed under: Olea europaea (common olive)
Lineage: Eukaryota; Viridiplantae; Streptophyta; Magnoliopsida; Lamiales; Oleaceae
Description: long non-coding RNA (OEUR_LNC004731)
Source: RNAcentral